RNAcentral lists this ribosomal RNA (579 nucleotides) under uncultured bacterium. Its description in RNAcentral is "bacterial SSU rRNA". It matches the Rfam family "Bacterial small subunit ribosomal RNA", at positions 102 to 668 of the family's 1533-position model. The record is from RNAcentral.
ACGGGUGAGUAACACGUGGAUAACCUACCUAUAAGACUGGGAUAACUUCGGGAAACCGGAGCUAAUACCAGAUAACAUGUUGAACCGCAUGGUUCAACAGUGAAAGACGGUCUUGCUGUCACUUAUAGAUGGAUCCGCGCCGCAUUAGCUAGUUGGUAAGGUAACGGCUUACCAAGGCAACGAUGCGUAGCCGACCUGAGAGGGUGAUCGGCCACACUGGAACUGAGACACGGUCCAGACUCCUACGGGAGGCAGCAGUAGGGAAUCUUCCGCAAUGGGCGAAAGCCUGACGGAGCAACGCCGCGUGAGUGAUGAAGGUCUUCGGAUCGUAAAACUCUGUUAUUAGGGAAGAACAAAUGUGUAAGUAACUAUGCACGUCUUGACGGUACCUAAUCAGAAAGCCACGGCUAACUACGUGCCAGCAACCGCGGUAAUACGUAGGUGGCAAGCGUUAUCCGGAAUUAUUGGGCGUAAAGCGCGCGUAGGCGGUUUUUUAAGUCUGAUGUGAAAGCCCACGGCUCAACCGUGGAGGGUCAUUGGAAACUGGAAAACUUGAGUGCAGAAGAGGAAAGUGGAAUU